Pelobates cultripes (western spadefoot toad) is the source of this 223-nucleotide non-coding RNA. The record is from the annotation of a GenBank genome assembly. Lineage: Eukaryota; Metazoa; Chordata; Amphibia; Anura; Pelobatidae.
GCACAUAUGAUUUUUAAAAUGUGAUAUAUUUGGAAAGCAGUACAUGGGCCGAACCUGUAGAAAAUUGAACGAAUUUUAGAACAUUAAAAUAGUAUUAGAUUUUUUUUUUUUAACAAACAUAGUCCCCAUCCACUGCAAUGCAUGUGCUAAAUUUAGUUGGAAAGAUUAAUACGUGGGUUUGGAAAAAAUAGAGAAUUAUUGGAGAGGUGGAAACAUAAUAAAA